ACCAGUCGAUGCUGCUGGAGGACACUACUAUCAGAUUUCGAUAUUCACGCAAGUCUGCUCACCGGCUUCGGUGGGCGGCGUACGGCUCAGUAACGCGUGGUCAAUCUACCACAGUGAAGCGAAUAACCUCGGGAAACUGAGGCUAAUGCGCUAUAGGCUAGGGUUUCUGGAAGGAGCCAUAGCCCAAAGGAUGUGCAAAAUGUAGCACUUCCGCACUGCGAUGAGACCGCGUCAGAUCAGGCAGAUGGCGGGGUAACGGCCCACCAUACCUUUGACCUGUAGGGGAUGUGAGAGCAAGAGCCCCGAGAAGGGCACUGAGACAAGGGCCCUAGUGCUACGGCGCGUAGCGGGAACGCAACCUCCACAAUGCACGAAAGUGUGAUGGGGGGAGUCUGAGUGGCAACCUUCGGGUUGCCUUUUAACGAGUCUAAAUAGCUCGUAGAAUAAGUGCUGGGUAAGACCGGUGGCAGCCGCCACGGUAAUACCGGCGGCACGAGCGGUGUCCGCGAUUAUUGGGCUUAAAGGGCCAGUAGCCGGCUAGAACAGUCCUACGUAAAAUGUUGGCGCUCAACGCCAACGCGGGCGUAGGAUACCUUCUGGCUAGGGAGCGGGAGAGAUCAGGGGUACUUAUGGGGUAGGGGUAAAAUCCUGUAAUCCUAUAAGGACCACCGGUGGCGAAGGCGCCUGAUCAGAACGCAUCCGACGGUGAGUGGCGAAGGCUAGGAGAACGAAUCGGAUUAGAUACCCGAGUAGCCCUAGCAGUAAAUUAUGCAGACUCAGGUGUUGCGCCGACCACGUGUCGGUGCAGUACCGUAGGGCAACUGAUAAGUCUGCCGCCUGGGGAGUACGGCCGCAAGGUUGAAACUUAAAGCAAUUGGCGGGGGAGCACCACAAGGGGUGGAUGCUGCGGUUUAAUUGAAUUCAACGUCAGAAAUAUUACCUGGAGCGACGGCAGGAUGAAGGUCAGACUAAAGAUCUUGCCUUACGAGCCGAGAGGUGGUGCAUGGCCAUCGUCAGCUCGUGCUGUGAAGUGUCAGGUUAAGUCCUGUAACGAGCGAGACCCUCGCUGACAGUUGCCACCGGUCAAGAGAUUGGCCGAGCACUCUGUCGGGACCGCCUCCGUUUAAGGAGGAGGAAGGAGAGGGCGACGGUAGGUCAGUAUGCCCCGAAUCUUCAGGGCUACACGCGGCAUACAGAGACUGCUACAAUGGGUUGCGACCCCGAAAGGGGAAGCUAAUCCCCUAAAAGCAGCCAAAGUUCGGAUUGAGGGCUGCAACUCGCCCUCAUGAAGCUGGAAUCCCUAGUAAUCGCUUGUCACUAUCGAGCGGUGAAUGUGUCCCCGCUCCUUGCACACACCGCCUGCCAGAUCAUCCAAGUGAGGUCUUGGUGAGGCAGCGCC
RNAcentral lists this ribosomal RNA (1399 nucleotides) under metagenome. RNAcentral describes it as "bacterial SSU rRNA". It matches the Rfam family "Archaeal small subunit ribosomal RNA". The record is from RNAcentral.